CCUACGGGGGGCUGCAGUGGGGAAUAUUGGACAAUGGGCGAAAGCCUGAUCCAGCCAUGCCGCGUGUGUGAAGAAGGCCUUCGGGUUGUAAAGCACUUUCAGUGGGGAAGAAAGCCUUGGGGCUAAUACCCUCGAGGAAGGACAUCACCCACAGAAGAAGCACCGGCUAACUCCGUGCCAGCAGCCGCGGUAAUACGGAGGGUGCGAGCGUUAAUCGGAAUUACUGGGCGUAAAGCGCGCGUAGGCGGUCUGAUAAGCCGGUUGUGAAAGCCCCGGGCUCAACCUGGGAACGGCAUCCGGAACUGUCAGGCUAGAGUGCAGGAGAGGAAGGUAGAAUUCCCGGUGUAGCGGUGAAAUGCGUAGAGAUCGGGAGGAAUACCAGUGGCGAAGGCGGCCUUCUGGACUGACACUGACGCUGAGGUGCGAAAGCGUGUGUAGCAAACAGGAUUAGAUACCCGUGUAGUC
This 465-nucleotide ribosomal RNA is filed under the name Vreelandella stevensii. RNAcentral's name for it is "partial 16S ribosomal RNA". It matches the Rfam family "Bacterial small subunit ribosomal RNA", at positions 338 to 795 of the family's 1533-position model. Lineage: Bacteria; Pseudomonadati; Pseudomonadota; Gammaproteobacteria; Oceanospirillales; Halomonadaceae. The record is from RNAcentral.